Molecule: long non-coding RNA, 382 nt
Organism: Oenanthe melanoleuca
Lineage: Eukaryota; Metazoa; Chordata; Aves; Passeriformes; Muscicapidae
Exons: 3
Source: RefSeq, a predicted model, not a curated record
GACCAAAGGUCCCCUCGGGGUGUCCCGCGUGUCCCCAGUCCCGCGGCGCCCGCGCUCGGGGACAGAUCCGGGUCCCUUCGGGUGUCCCCAACGCCGCCACCCGCGCUCGGGGACAGUCCCGCGUGUCCCUCCCGCGCUCGGGGACAGGUCCUGGUGUCACCCCGCCCUCGGGGACAGGUCCUGGUGUCACCCCGGCCAUGGGGGCUCGGCGGCUCUGGGCGCUCUGCGCCUGCGUCCUGCUCGUCUGCUCAGGGAACGCAGCGGGGGCCGGCGAGUGGGAGACCUCGGGGGAUGGCCCAAACACGACCCCCGUGGCCACCACGGUGACAAACGACUGGGAGAUCUCGGGUGAUGACUCCCCCACCACCACGACCCCCGUGGC